UACGUAGGGCGCAAGCGUUGUCCGGAAUUAUUGGGCGUAAAGAGCUCGUAGGUGGUGUGUCGCGUCUGCCGUGAAAGCCCGGGGCUUAACUCUGGGCGUGCAGUGGGUACGGGCAGACUAGAGUGCGGUAGGGGGAGACUGGAAUUCCUGGUGUAGCGGUGAAAUGCGCAGAUAUCAGGAGGAACACCGGUGGCGAAGGCGGGACUCUGGGCCGAUACUGACGCUGAGGAGCGAAAAGCGUGGGGGAGCAAACAGG
RNAcentral lists this ribosomal RNA (256 nucleotides) under uncultured bacterium. RNAcentral describes it as "partial 16S ribosomal RNA". It matches the Rfam family "Bacterial small subunit ribosomal RNA", at positions 524 to 776 of the family's 1533-position model. The record is from RNAcentral.